GACGAACGCUGGCGGCGUGCUUAACACAUGCAGGUCGAACCGAAAGGCCCUGCUUGCAGGGUGCUCGAGUGGCGAACGGGUGAGUAACACGUGGGUGAUCUGCCCCUUACUUUGGGAUAAGCCUGGGAAACUGGGUCUAAUACUGGAUAGGACCAUGCUGUAGGUGGUGUGGUGGAAAGAUUAGUUUCGGUAAGGGAUGAGCUCGCGGCCUAUCAGCUUGUUGGUGGGGUAAUGGCCUACCAAGGCGUCGACGGGUAGCCGGCCUGAGAGGGUGGACGGCCACAUUGGGACUGAGAUACGGCCCAGACUCCUACGGGAGGCAGCAGUGGGGAAUAUUGCACAAUGGGCGCAAGCCUGAUGCAGCGACGCCGCGUGGGGGAUGACGGCCUUCGGGUUGUAAACUCCUUUCAGCCAUGACGAAGCCCUUGUGGUGACGGUAGUGGUAGAAGAAGCACCGGCUAACUACGUG
Molecule: ribosomal RNA, 469 nt
Filed under: uncultured bacterium
Lineage: Bacteria
Description: partial 16S ribosomal RNA
Rfam family: Bacterial small subunit ribosomal RNA
Source: RNAcentral